CAAGUACUUCCUUAGUCCGGAAAUACUUGUCCGAGGAAUGAAUGUAUCUAAAUAUAUUUUAGUUCUAGAUACAUCCACUUGUAUCCAUUUCUACGACAAAUAUUUUCGGACGGAGGGAGUACUAG
Molecule: non-coding RNA, 125 nt
Organism: Triticum aestivum (bread wheat)
Lineage: Eukaryota; Viridiplantae; Streptophyta; Magnoliopsida; Poales; Poaceae
Source: Rfam